This 599-nucleotide ribosomal RNA is filed under the name Leclercia adecarboxylata. Its description in RNAcentral is "bacterial SSU rRNA". It matches the Rfam family "Bacterial small subunit ribosomal RNA", at positions 1 to 591 of the family's 1533-position model. The record is from RNAcentral. Lineage: Bacteria; Pseudomonadati; Pseudomonadota; Gammaproteobacteria; Enterobacterales; Enterobacteriaceae.
AAAUUGAAGAGUUUGAUCAUGGCUCAGAUUGAACGCUGGCGGCAGGCCUAACACAUGCAAGUCGAACGGUAGCACAGAGAGCUUGCUCUCGGGUGACGAGUGGCGGACGGGUGAGUAAUGUCUGGGAAACUGCCUGAUGGAGGGGGAUAACUACUGGAAACGGUAGCUAAUACCGCAUAACGUCGCAAGACCAAAGAGGGGGACCUUCGGGCCUCUUGCCAUCAGAUGUGCCCAGAUGGGAUUAGCUAGUAGGUGGGGUAAUGGCUCACCUAGGCGACGAUCCCUAGCUGGUCUGAGAGGAUGACCAGCCACACUGGAACUGAGACACGGUCCAGACUCCUACGGGAGGCAGCAGUGGGGAAUAUUGCACAAUGGGCGCAAGCCUGAUGCAGCCAUGCCGCGUGUAUGAAGAAGGCCUUCGGGUUGUAAAGUACUUUCAGCGGGGAGGAAGGUGUUGUGGUUAAUAACCGCAGCAAUUGACGUUACCCGCAGAAGAAGCACCGGCUAACUCCGUGCCAGCAGCCGCGGUAAUACGGAGGGUGCAAGCGUUAAUCGGAAUUACUGGGCGUAAAGCGCACGCAGGCGGUCUGUCAAGUCGG